Molecule: long non-coding RNA, 201 nt
Filed under: Gossypium raimondii (Peruvian cotton)
Lineage: Eukaryota; Viridiplantae; Streptophyta; Magnoliopsida; Malvales; Malvaceae
Description: long non-coding RNA (GRAI_LNC001971)
Source: RNAcentral
UAAUGUUCAUUUAGUACGAUACGGUUACUAACGUUAUCAAAGCUAUGUUUAAAUUUUUUUUUAUUCCAACUACAGGUACUCAUUGUUUCAAUUAUGUUAACAAGUUAUAGUUUUCUUCUCAGUUAUAUUUAUAUUGGAAAAAAAAUUAAAAAUGUGGGAGAGAGAAAAAAGAAAGGGAAAAAAUACAUAAGUGACAGGGGA